UACAGAGGGGGCAAGCGUUGUUCGGAAUUACUGGGCGUAAAGGGCGCGUAGGCGGCCUUCUAAGUCGAACGUGAAAUCCCCGGGCUCAACCCGGGAACUGCGUCCGAUACUGGAAGGCUUGAGUCCGGGAGAGGGAUGCGGAAUUCCAGGUGUAGCGGUGAAAUGCGUAGAUAUCUGGAGGAACACCGGUGGCGAAGGCGGCAUCCUGGACCGGCAUUGACGCUGAGGCGCGAAAGCCAGGGGAGCAAACGGG
RNAcentral lists this ribosomal RNA (253 nucleotides) under uncultured bacterium. RNAcentral describes it as "partial 16S ribosomal RNA". It matches the Rfam family "Bacterial small subunit ribosomal RNA", at positions 524 to 776 of the family's 1533-position model. The record is from RNAcentral.